Molecule: ribosomal RNA, 253 nt
Filed under: uncultured bacterium
Lineage: Bacteria
Description: partial 16S ribosomal RNA
Rfam family: Bacterial small subunit ribosomal RNA
Source: RNAcentral
UACGAAGGGGGCUAGCGUUGUUCGGAAUUACUGGGCGUAAAGCGCACGUAGGCGGAUAUUUAAGUCAGGGGUGAAAUCCCAGAGCUCAACUCUGGAACUGCCUUUGAUACUGGGUAUCUUGAGUAUGGAAGAGGUGAGUGGAAUUGCGAGUGUAGAGGUGAAAUUCGUAGAUAUUAGCAGGAACACCAGUGGCGAAGGCGGCUCACUGGUCCAUAACUGACGCUGAGGUGCGAAAGCGUGGGGAGCAAACAGG